Molecule: ribosomal RNA, 454 nt
Filed under: uncultured bacterium
Lineage: Bacteria
Description: partial 16S ribosomal RNA
Rfam family: Bacterial small subunit ribosomal RNA
Source: RNAcentral
GAUGAACGCUGACAGAAUGCUUAACACAUGCAAGUCUACUUGAACUUCGGUUUGGGUGGCGGACGGGUGAGUAACGCGUAAAGAACUUGCCUCACAGUUAGGGACAACAUUUGGAAACGAAUGCUAAUACCUGAUAUUAUGAUUUUAGGGCAUCCUAGGAUUAUGAAAGCUAUAUGUGCUGUGAGAGAGCUUUGCGUCCCAUUAGCUAGUUGGAGAGGUAACGGCUCACCAAGGCGAUGAUGGGUAGCCGGCCUGAGAGGGUGAACGGCCACAAGGGGACUGAGACACGGCCCUUACUCCUACGGGAGGCAGCAGUGGGGAAUAUUGGACAAUGGACCAAAAGACUGAUCCAGCAAUUCUGUGUGCACGAUGACGUUUUUCGGAAUGUAAAGUGCUUUCAGUUGGGAAGAAAAAAAUGACGGUACCAACAGAAGAAGUGACGGCUAAAUACGUG